Molecule: ribosomal RNA, 253 nt
Filed under: uncultured bacterium
Lineage: Bacteria
Description: partial 16S ribosomal RNA
Rfam family: Bacterial small subunit ribosomal RNA
Source: RNAcentral
UACGGAGGGGGCGAGCGUUAUUCGGAAUUAUUGGGCGUAAAGGGCGCGUAGGCGGCCCGGUAAGUCAAAGGUGAAAUCCCUCGGCUCAACUGAGGAACUGCCUUUGAAACUGUCGGGCUUGAGGCCGGGAGGGGGUAGCGGAAUUCCCAGUGUAGCGGUGAAAUGCGUAGAUAUUGGGAAGAACACCGGUGGCGAAGGCGCUCUGCUAGGCCGUAACUGACACUGAGGGACGAAAGCUAGGGGAGCGAAUGGG